AUUGAACGCUGGCGGCAGGCUUAACACAUGCAAGUCGAGCGAGCGGCGGACGGGUGAGUAAUGUCUGGGAAACUGCCUGAUGGAGGGGGAUAACUACUGGAAACGGUAGCUAAUACCGCAUACUAUCGGAUGAACCCAUAUGGGAUUAGCUAGUAGGUGAGGUAAUGGCUCACCUAGGCGACGAUCCCUAGCUGGUCUGAGAGGAUGAUCAGCCACACUGGGACUGAGACACGGCCCAGACUCCUACGGGAGGCAGCAGUGGGGAAUAUUGCACAAUGGGCGCAAGCCUGAUGCAGCGACGCCGCGUGGGGGAUGAAGGCUUUCGGGUUGUAAACCUCUUUCGCUAUCGAACGGGUAGGUGGAGAAGAAGCGCCGGCUAACUACGUGCCAGCAGCCGCGGUAAUUC
Molecule: ribosomal RNA, 406 nt
Filed under: uncultured bacterium
Lineage: Bacteria
Description: partial 16S ribosomal RNA
Rfam family: Bacterial small subunit ribosomal RNA
Source: RNAcentral